Non-coding RNA from Gossypium hirsutum (cotton), 107 nucleotides. The record is from Rfam. NCBI's taxonomy places the organism in Eukaryota, Viridiplantae, Streptophyta, Magnoliopsida, Malvales, Malvaceae.
AAUCCAUGGUGUGGUCAUUUCUGAAUUAGCAUCUUAAAAUGCUCUCAUGCAUCGUGUAAGCUUUCUCCCUCUAAUUGCUUGAACAUCAAAAUUCCCCUUCUUAGUUA